GGGCCGGUAGAUCAGGCUGGUAUGAUCGCCGCGCUUGCAACGCGGAGGUCGCGGGUUCAAAUCCCGCCCGGUCCACCA
RNAcentral lists this transfer RNA (78 nucleotides) under Candidatus Bathyarchaeota archaeon. RNAcentral's name for it is "tRNA-Ala". It matches the Rfam family "tRNA". Rfam says of the family: Transfer RNA (tRNA) molecules are approximately 80 nucleotides in length. Their secondary structure includes four short double-helical elements and three loops (D, anti-codon, and T loops). The record is from RNAcentral. Lineage: Archaea; Thermoproteati; Candidatus Bathyarchaeota.